This 498-nucleotide ribosomal RNA is filed under the name uncultured bacterium. RNAcentral's name for it is "partial 16S ribosomal RNA". It matches the Rfam family "Bacterial small subunit ribosomal RNA", at positions 28 to 507 of the family's 1533-position model. The record is from RNAcentral.
GACGAACGCUGGCGGCGUGCCUAAUACAUGCAAGUCGAACGAGAGCAACCGGUGCUUGCACUGGUCAAUCUAGUGGCGCACGGGUGAGUAACACGUGGGUAACCUGCCCAUCAGAGGGGGAUAACAUCCGGAAACGGAUGCUAACACCGCAUAGGUCUUCGAACCGCAUGGUUGGAUGAGGAAAAGCGGCGCAAGCGUCUGCUGAUGGGUGGACCCGCGCUGCAUGAGCUAGUUGGUGUGGUAACGGCUCUCCAAGGCCGUUAUGCAUAGACGACGGGAGGGGGUGAUCGGCGACAUUGGGAGUGGGACACGGCCCAUACGCCUGCGGGAGGCCGCAGUAGGGAAUCUUCCGCAGUGGACGCAAGUCUGACGGAGCAACGCCGCGUGAGUGAAGAAGGUGUUCGGAUCGUAAAACUCGGUUGUUAGUGAAGAACAAGUGCUAGAGUAACUGUUAGCGCCGUGACGGUAACUAAUCAGAAAGCCCCGGCUAACUACGUG